Molecule: long non-coding RNA, 1268 nt
Filed under: Coturnix japonica (Japanese quail)
Lineage: Eukaryota; Metazoa; Chordata; Aves; Galliformes; Phasianidae
Description: lncRNA (ENSCJPG00005020398.1)
Source: RNAcentral
CACUGCAUUUCUGCUGAAGGUGACCCCAUGUCUCCCCAGACAGGAGCGUUACUCUUUGGAGGUCACGCUCUAAUACCUGCCUGGCUCCUGUAAAACAUCACACUCUGAACUGCCCAAUGGAUGUUUUGACCAAGGAGUUCUACUCAUAACACGCCAAACAAGCUUUGGAAAUGUGCACAGACUGACUGCCUUGAUGAGGAGAAGCUGAGAUUGCGUCAAAUUCUUUGUGUUUUAAAGGUCAACACAUCCACUUCUCCAACAAGCUUUCUUACGGUUGUAAUUACAGCCCUUUUUCCCAAUGCAAUCAAACAAAUAUGUCUUGAAAAAGCAUGAAGUGGUAGAAGAUAUCCCAUAGACUUAGCACUGCAAAACUGAACUUCCUCCAUUCAGAUGAAGAAAUCAACUUUUGUCUCUAGGAAUCAAAUGAUCUUGCUGUUUCUCUGCUCUCCAGUUAUCUACGACCUACUGAGCCAAGAUCUCACAGAAGGUGUUCCCACAGAUUUUAAAACAGAGUUGAUGCUUGAGGGAGUUUUAUGUUUGAAGAAGAAAAGAACAGCGAUCGCCAUCAGACAACUCAGAAAAGCAACUCAGAGAACCAGAAGUGGAAAGCUGCUACAGCAGCUUCUGCUGUGGUAAGGUGAGAAUUGUCUGUGAUAUACAGCUACAGUGUAUGGUCCAUGGAGCCCUUCAAAGAUUUAUCAGUCUUUCUCAAGCUGAUCUCUAGCUGAUCAGCCAACGUACUGCAUGAGAAUGGUAUAAGCAGUUCAGAUCUAGAGUGGAAGUCCAUAGCUUCAGUCCCCAUUUGAUAACCAGCUCACAGAAAGCCUCACCCAGGUGGGACUGCCAUCAGCAUCUCCGCGCUCACUAUUCCUCCUCUGUACACUGCUCAGAACAGCAGUUUCAACAAACCAGCAUUUCCUUCCAAGAACCUGCAGCUGACAAUGCAGCACAGAAUUCCCUUUGUGCAUUAAAGCACUCACUCAGGAGAUUGGCUGGAAAGCUUGAGAACGCUGUACCAUUUCAAAGCUUUGUGUCCAGGCCCUUUUUCUUUUUACCAAAUUCUCUCUGGUGAACCUGUUGCAGUCCUUAGUUAGAGGUCUGAAUCUCCGUGUAACUAUAAAAGAUGGGUGCCAAGAAAAUGAACUGAUCUCAAACUCGGUGAUACUUUGUCCCUUUUAAGCUAAGAUUCUGACCAGCAAAUCACCCUGCUCUUUUAUCAGAGAUCAUCUGCUGUUCUGAAGGUAAUAAAGGACUGUGACACAUUUGCA